CAGCAGCCACGGGAACACGUAGGGUGCAAGCGUUAAUCGGAAUUACUGGGCGUAAAGCGUGCGCAGGCGGUUAUAUAAGACAGAUGUGAAAUCCCCGGGCUCAACCUGGGAACUGCAUUUGUGACUGUAUAGCUAGAGUACGGCAGAGGGGGAUGGAAUUCCGCGUGUAGCAGUGAAAUGCGUAGAUAUGCGGAGGAACACCGAUGGCGAAGGCAAUCCCCUGGGCCUGUACUGACGCUCAUGCACGAAAGCGUGGGGAGCAAACAGGAUUAGAUACCCCUGUAGUCCCUGUCUCUUAUAC
Molecule: ribosomal RNA, 301 nt
Filed under: uncultured bacterium
Lineage: Bacteria
Description: partial 16S ribosomal RNA
Rfam family: Bacterial small subunit ribosomal RNA
Source: RNAcentral